RNAcentral lists this transfer RNA (77 nucleotides) under Pseudoalteromonas piscicida. RNAcentral's name for it is "tRNA-Asp". It matches the Rfam family "tRNA". Rfam says of the family: Transfer RNA (tRNA) molecules are approximately 80 nucleotides in length. RNAcentral also lists the same sequence under 28 other names. Lineage: Bacteria; Pseudomonadati; Pseudomonadota; Gammaproteobacteria; Alteromonadales; Pseudoalteromonadaceae. The record is from RNAcentral.
GGAGUGGUAGUUCAGUUGGUUAGAAUACCGGCCUGUCACGUCGGGGGUCGCGGGUUCGAGUCCCGUCCACUCCGCCA